GCCAAGUCCACCGGCUGGUGCAAGAGCCCAGACUACCAACCCGUUAGUCCGUCAGCAGAAAACGUGUCAGCUACCGACAAAUGGCUUCUCGGUCAUUUCCAAUCAGGACAGAGGUGUAGCGACGUGCAUCGCCCUCAGCUCCAGCACCUCAUCACUUCUGGCAUUAGAAGAAAGGAGAAGGCGAAGGCUGUGAUGCCAUACUGGAGGCUUUAAAACAUCUAAACAAGCGGGUGAUGUCACAGUGGCCGAGUUAACUUCUUAUUACACAGAAUAUGACCUCACAGCACCCUUUCUUUUGCAUGACUGAGCCUUUCCAGUAUGCCUCUUUCAUACCCAACCAUAUGAUACCAUAUUGCCUGUUUAAAGCAACCCCAACCUUCCCAGUCUUUUGUUGCUCCUGGCAUCAGAUCCACAAUAAGCACAUAACUUGCAAAAAAUCAAUGAUAUAGAUGAGGAAAAAACAUCAAAAAUGUUCUCUUUGUGUUGUUUUAAACCGAGUGUGUGUCAAAAGGGAUUUCACACAGCGUCCUAACUUUUCAUGAAUCUGGGUUGUAAUUACUCUGAUAAAUAUAAUAAAGCUCCUGACCUUCCUUCGAGCAACUGAUUAAAGAUCAAUUCAUAGUUCAAA
Molecule: long non-coding RNA, 628 nt
Organism: Scatophagus argus
Lineage: Eukaryota; Metazoa; Chordata; Actinopteri; Scatophagidae
Exons: 2
Source: RefSeq, a predicted model, not a curated record